UAGAACUAAAUGCCAGAACAGAGCAGAGCAGAUCAGUAGCAAGAAAGGAACAGGGCACGACGGAAGGGCUGACGCGAUGGAACAGAACUGGCACCGUCGAGACAGUGGCUGCGCGACGGAGGCAGAAGGCGAGGCCGGCGACGGUGGCUGGACGUUGAGGAACGGCGACGAGAGAUGGCUGCUUCGGUGCUUCCUCCAAGCUGCGUUCGAGUUCUGUUCUG
This 221-nucleotide long non-coding RNA is filed under the name Arachis ipaensis. RNAcentral's name for it is "long non-coding RNA (AIPA_LNC000548)". Lineage: Eukaryota; Viridiplantae; Streptophyta; Magnoliopsida; Fabales; Fabaceae. The record is from RNAcentral.